This 443-nucleotide long non-coding RNA is filed under the name Sinocyclocheilus grahami. RNAcentral's name for it is "lncRNA (ENSSGRG00000028594.1)". The record is from RNAcentral. Lineage: Eukaryota; Metazoa; Chordata; Actinopteri; Cypriniformes; Cyprinidae.
GUCAUAACUUCUACUUCUCUCUUGUCUGGUUUAGUGUUCUAUUUGACCAGCGUUUCGAAGAGAGUCAGAAAUCAUGUGACGGAAUCUGAGAUCAUCCAUUUGAUACAAGCUUGCAUGUAGCCAGAGGUGUCAACGUUAUGCUGAGUUUCAGAAAGGAAGUGGACAAUAAAGACUGCCUACAAAGUGAUGGAAAGACAGAGACUCAGUGAGAGGAGGUGACGACAAGGAGAAAAAAUGCCGGUACCUCCUCCACCUCCCCCUCCGCCACCCCCCACCUUCUCUCAGGCAAACACUGAGAAGCCUGUCUUGAAUAAAUCGGCGCAGCAUGGCAGGAAUGCUCUACUGUCCGACAUCAGCAAAGGAGCAAGGCUAAAGAAGUCAGUUACUAAUGACCGUAGCGCCCCCAUACUUGACAGUAAGAUCCUGCACCUUAUGGAGUUACA